Molecule: long non-coding RNA, 286 nt
Organism: Panicum virgatum (switchgrass)
Lineage: Eukaryota; Viridiplantae; Streptophyta; Magnoliopsida; Poales; Poaceae
Exons: 2
Source: RefSeq, a predicted model, not a curated record
GCCGCGUCGCACGCGUCAUGGGUCUGUUCGUGGACAUGAAGAAGAUGAGCAGUGUGACUGAACCGUCGGAGAACGAAACCGUUGAGCCUGCCGAGUCCGUCGAGCCUGAACCCGGAGUCCAGUUUAUGGUCGAGCCCGAAGUUAACCAAGGCAAGUAGCUAAGCAUAAUCCCUUGCACCUAUUUAAUUUGAUUAGUUUAGUUAUCUCACUUGGGUAUUGUUGGGUUAUAUAUAUACUAUGUACGUAUUACAUUCUUGUACCUAUUUUCAUGCAUUCUCCUUCCUUG